CAAAGACAGGAGCGCACGCGAGCAGAUGGAAACCAUGGAAACGAGGAAACCUCAUCAACUGACAAACAGCAAAACUAGCGUCUCUCGCUGUUGUUUUCGCUUCUUUCAGAAAUGGUUUUGUGUCUUCGAAAAAGUCCGUUAGCAUCUCAACCGUUUUCAGAAUAGAUCAUCAUGCUGAUGGCCUGCUGCACCCCCUGUCCAAGACAACCUCCACGGCUAUGAACUCGACUAGUAAGCAAAACCUCAAACAUACUGUUCAAACGUUGGGGGUCUGUAGGUUUAUGCUUUUUAAUGAAGUCU
Molecule: long non-coding RNA, 300 nt
Organism: Rhinichthys klamathensis goyatoka
Lineage: Eukaryota; Metazoa; Chordata; Actinopteri; Cypriniformes; Leuciscidae
Exons: 3
Source: RefSeq, a predicted model, not a curated record